The submitters of this non-coding RNA (78 nucleotides) gave its source as unclassified sequences. The record is from Rfam.
GCCCUAACUGUAUGCAGGGCAUACUCUCGCCAUCGAAUGGCGAGGGCCGAAGAAUGUUAAACUUCAGUAAUUAAACAG